RNAcentral lists this ribosomal RNA (500 nucleotides) under uncultured bacterium. RNAcentral describes it as "partial 16S ribosomal RNA". It matches the Rfam family "Bacterial small subunit ribosomal RNA", at positions 30 to 523 of the family's 1533-position model. The record is from RNAcentral.
AUUGAACGCUGGCGGCAUGCCUUACACAUGCAAGUCGAACGGCAGCACGGGAGCAAUCCUGGUGGCGAGUGGCGAACGGGUGAGUAAAGUAUCGGAACGUGCCCAGUCGUGGGGGAUAACGUAGCGAAAGUUACGCUAAUACCGCAUACGAUCUAUGGAUGAAAGCGGGGGAUCGCAAGACCUCGCGCGAUUGGAGCGGCCGAUAUCAGAUUAGGUAGUUGGCGGGGUAAAGGCUCACCAAGCCGACGAUCUGUAGAUGGUCUGAGAGGACGACCAGCCACACUGGGACUGAGACACGGCCCAGACUCCUACGGGAGGCAGCAGUGGGGAAUUUUGGACAAUGGGCGAAAGCCUGAUCCAGCCAUGCCGCGUGCAGGAUGAAGGCCUUCGGGUUGUAAACUGCUUUUGUACGGAACGAAAAGGUUUGGCCUAAUAAGCUGAGCUCAUGACGGUACCGUAAGAAUAAGCACCGGCUAACUACGUGCCAGCCGCCGCAGUAA